GUAGCUAACUGAGGGUUAAUUCCUAAUAUUCUAAUAAUACUGCAAUCAUAAAUCUCAAAUCAAGAAUUCAUGAAACAAACUCAAAAGGAUUGAAUUAAGGCUCACCUAAUCAAGAAAUAUGAUGUAAAAAUUGAAUGUAUUCGUUAAAAGUGACUCAAAAUGAACUUCAAAGCAAAACCCACUGCUGCCGACGAUAGCUUGACCGGACUUUAUGAGAACGCUCGCCGGAAGUACGCUGGUGAGGCGUUGACAACAAAAGAGGAGCUGGAUUGGCCGGCCGGUAACAGGUCUUGCCGGAAAAACGAGAAAGAGGGCUGAUGGCGCUACUCUCCGAUUGAAACUCAACUGCAGCUUCUUGUGUUAGCUGCGCUAGCCGGAAACGACAGGAGGGAGAGGUUGGAACUACGCCAUCGAUGGAAAAGAAGCCGGAGUCGACCGAUCUUGCACUGGAGUAGCCGGAAAAUCUGGCCGGAGACGCGACGCGAUUUCCCGAUCGAACGAAGUCGCAGGUUCCCUGCGAUAGCUGAGCUCGCCAGAGACGAAAGGAGAGAGAGAGGAAGAGAGGCCGAAGCUGUGGUGAGGCGGCGACGUGGCAAGGAGGUGGUGAUGAACGACUGUUCUCCGGCGAUCGGGAAAAUUAAAAAAAAAA
Molecule: non-coding RNA, 649 nt
Organism: Jatropha curcas
Lineage: Eukaryota; Viridiplantae; Streptophyta; Magnoliopsida; Malpighiales; Euphorbiaceae
Source: RefSeq, a predicted model, not a curated record